RNAcentral lists this small nuclear RNA (20 nucleotides) under Arabidopsis thaliana (thale cress). RNAcentral's name for it is "snRNA_14804". The record is from RNAcentral. Lineage: Eukaryota; Viridiplantae; Streptophyta; Magnoliopsida; Brassicales; Brassicaceae.
AAAGAUUUACUCAUAUAAAU